AACUUUUGGGAGCUCCUUGGACUUUGAAGUGCCAAAUGAAACGGCAUACAGGUUUGUCGUUUCAGACGCUAUUGGUCUUACCUCUUAACCUUGAAUAACAUAAGCCUCGGACAGUCACGGUAUACUAAAUCGGAUAGAGUGCAGGGCAAGGCCAUGGCGUUUGCUAUUUCCAACCCAACUUGCAUUUCUUCUUCUAUUUCACCUCUACUUAAAAAAGGUAAAAGGUUCACCCAUUUUUCACCUUCCAAUUUUGGUCUCACCAUUUACUUUGUAAAUUACAUUUAAAUUCCAUUAAGUUGGAUUUUUUUUCUAGGUCUGACUCAGGCGAGAGUAUGGGCUAAUUCAUGGUGUCUCAACCCCAAUUUAAAGCUUACAGGUUGUUUCCCGGUUACAAAGUGAGGGUGGUGGAAAAUCUUUGGCGCCGGAGAAAAGUGGUUUACAGUUUUAUUUGCUUUUUAUUUCUAAAUCUUUGUUUUCUUGUGUAUAUGAUAAUUGUUAGUACCAAUUUAACGGUAAAUUGAAAUUUUUAAAUAAAGUGGAAGAAAAGUGAAGUGAA
Molecule: non-coding RNA, 556 nt
Organism: Durio zibethinus
Lineage: Eukaryota; Viridiplantae; Streptophyta; Magnoliopsida; Malvales; Malvaceae
Source: RefSeq, a predicted model, not a curated record